GAUGAAGAACGUAGCGAAAUGCGAUAAGUAAUGUGAAUUGCAGAGUUCAGUGAAUCAUCGAAUCUUUGAACGCACAUUGCGCCCGUCAGUAUUCUGACGGACAUGCCUGUCCGAGCGUCAUUUCAACCCUCAAGCACUGCUUGGCGUUGGCGGAUUGCGUGCCCUCGCGGCGCUGCAACCGCCCAAAUACAGUGGCGGUCCCGCUGCGGCUCCCUUUGCGUAGUAACUCACCUCGCACUGGACCGGGCGGCGGCCUGCCGUAAAACCCCAACUCACGAAAUGUUGACCUCGGAUCAGGUAGGAAUACCCGCUGAACUUAAGCAUAUCAAUAAGCGGAGGA
RNAcentral lists this unclassified non-coding RNA (340 nucleotides) under soil metagenome. RNAcentral's name for it is "partial contains 5.8S ribosomal RNA, internal transcribed spacer 2, and large subunit ribosomal RNA". The stretch from base 1 to 120 matches the Rfam family "5.8S ribosomal RNA", at positions 35 to 154 of the family's 154-position model. The record is from RNAcentral.